AUUGCUAAAAGACAGUUAACUCUCUGAUAUUUGUCCAUUCGCUUUCUAUAUGGAGGGGAAUUAAUAUGUACAGAUGAGCCUUCCAAACUGAAUAUUUGAGUGCUCUUCUUGUUUGAAAUUUUUUGUUCACAACAGUAGGUUGAUGCCCGCAGUUGUUUGAAAUCAAAUUCAGAGGAUACACAACCUAAGAUCGACACAUCCCUACCUGAACCAAAGGGUCGUACGCCCAUCAUUAUUAUUAUUUUCAAUGCUAUUUGUGUUCUUCAUAUCCCCAAUUAAUUUAUUCAGUCUUACUUUUGACAUAAAACGCAAGUUGACUUUGAACCCCUUCUCCACCACAGGCAAGGUCGAACCCCAACACCGAGAAGGUAUCUUGGCACCAAAUCAUCGCGAGAAGAAGGAGCCUCCGAACAGGAAACCGGCGGGGAGCAUGCCACCGUAGGGGAAGGGCAGGGGAGACAUGGUGGCGGCUAGCUGGGCCAAGCUGCGAACGCCCAUCGGCGACUUUCGUUGGGGUCCAUACCAUUCUUCCUCCCCUCACUCCGAUGCCAAAACCAGUAGGUGCAGCAAGAAGGUCAAGCAUCAACAGAGGUGCACAUCCGCACAUGGGUGGCGUGAACAGAUGGCUACCCCAAGAUAAUCUGAACUAGCUUGCAGCAUCCGAUGAGAAACCAAGCCAGUUUCUCAGCAUGGCAGAUAACUCUCUAGACAUGAUCAUGUCUCUAGCAGUUAAGUUUUGAACUGGAACUGUUGAUCACAUUAUAACUGUUCCUGCUACUGCAGGUUCGACUUGAAUUUUGUAUUAUGUACAGAUGGUGUUGGUGUGCCUCUCCAUAGGUUUCUACCUCCCGGAAUUCAUCUUCCUAUUGCCACAUAAUUACAUCCUUUGUUUUUGGGAAAACAAUGUAUAGAUCCAUUGUUUCUCUCUACAGUGCGCAUGCCCUUUUAUUUGUUUUUGGAUAGAUUCUUCCAUUGAUUUCUUGCUAUGCUUGGAUAACUAGAGUAUCUAAUUCGAAAUUAUCCAGUCUUUUGUAUGUUCACUUGCAUAGAUGGCUUAAUCCAGAACCUAAAGUGAAGAAAAUAUAGCACAUAUACUUGGUCAUUUCUCCUAAGAAGAUUAAUCCACCUGGACUUUUAACUUGACUUCCAAAGAAGUUCUGAAUGAUCAAGCAUGUUCGGGUUUUUAGUAAACUGAAAUAGUGUUGCACCCUGACAAUAGUAUUCUGAUUUUCUAAGUUAACAAAAUCUUCUCACAUACGCAAUACGUCAUGCAGAUCGGGUCGUAGUCGGAGCACAACUAAGGUUGGCGCUGCUCAAGUGUUUGCAGCGGGAUCCUCUUCUACAACGGUGAUGACAAGGGCUCCGCUCCCAGUUCAGUCUAUCAACUACACACACAACUCCUGGACCUGCCUUCAGAUUUAAGGCAAGCGCUUCAGUACUUCCUUGUGUUGCAUAGUCACUAGACUGGGUUUUCUUUGAUUCUAUGAUUGGUUUGUUUUCAUCGCAAUGUAUGUGUCCACACAAUCAAAAGGAUCAAGAUAGCUUCACAUAGAUUAGUUAAUUGGCCAGGUACAUACGAAGCUGUGAAUCUAAACAGGACGCACAUACAUCACCACACCAAUAUGUUGUGUGUAACACGACCAUUCCUAACAUACCAUGGUUUGCAUGGUGGAUAACCGAUGUGUGUUAAGAUGAGCAGCAGCACGCUCACACAUUAUCUUUGCCAUUUAAAUAACCAUAUUUGUUCUAUGAAGUUUCUGUUAUAUAUCUCUAUGUCCAUGUACUUCUCAAAAGUUACCUUGGAUGAGAAGCAUUGUUUUGCUGGUCUUUGUGAAGACAAGAUAGGAAGAUCCAUGUUCUUGAUCAAUCAAAUAUGGUCAAAACUGUAGUUUUUUCACCAGUGUA
Molecule: long non-coding RNA, 1905 nt
Organism: Triticum aestivum (bread wheat)
Lineage: Eukaryota; Viridiplantae; Streptophyta; Magnoliopsida; Poales; Poaceae
Exons: 3
Source: RefSeq, a predicted model, not a curated record